UUCUAUUAUCAUGCUACUAUGGCCACAAACUUAAGGACUCAGCUUCUUAGGUCUUAUGGGACUACUCCUCAAGUACUAAGAUUGAUAGAUCCCUUAUAAGUGCACACCUACUCCUACAGUGAAUCUACUAUAAUCAAUGAAUACUAUAAGGCUCCAAAUGGCUAGGAACUAUGUUUAUUUAUUAUCAUACUACAGCAAACCCACUG
This 206-nucleotide long non-coding RNA is filed under the name Elaeis guineensis (African oil palm). Its description in RNAcentral is "long non-coding RNA (EGUI_LNC051267)". Lineage: Eukaryota; Viridiplantae; Streptophyta; Magnoliopsida; Arecales; Arecaceae. The record is from RNAcentral.